UUGCACUCUUAAAAUACACCCGAUACAAUGCACCAGCCUGACUCAGCCGCAGACAUUAGUGCUAGGAAGAUGGCGCACCCGGCGAUGUUUCCUAGAAGGGGCAGCAGCAGUAGCAGCGGCAGCAGCUGCGUUACUGCUCCCACUGCACCAGGUACCGGCGUUGGGAGCGCUGCCCUCUCUGCCGAGGAUUAUCAGCCGCCUUUGCUGGUCCAGCCACCGCCUCCAUCUCCUGCAGCAGCUUCAUCAUCGGGUCCACAGCCGAUACCCCCUCCUCCACAAAGCCUGAACCUCCUCUCGCAGUCUCAGCUCCAACCACAGCCUCUUGCACAGACUGGAGCUCAGAUGAAAAAGAAAAGUGGCUUCCAAAUUACCAGUGUGACCCCUGCUCAAAUAUCAGCUAGUAUGAGCUCUAACAACAGUAUAGCUGAGGAUACAGAAAGCUAUGAUGAUCUGGAUGAGUCUCACACUGAAGACCUUUCGUCUUCAGAGAUCUUGGAUGUGUCUUUAUCCAGGGCCACUGACUUGGGAGAACCUGAAAGGAGCUCCUCUGAAGAGACUCUAAAUAACUUCCAAGAGGCAGAGACUCCUGGGGCUGUUUCUCCAAAUCAGCCUCAUCUUCCUCAGCAGCAUGCUCCUCUUCCUCAUCACCCACAGCAGAGUGUUGUGAUCAAUGGAAGUGUUCACCCCCACCACGUUCAUCAUCACCACCAUCUUCACCACCACCAUCAUGGACACCAUCAUCCGUCGCAUCCUGGCGUAGGUAGUGCCCCUAUUUCUGGAGGACCACCGCCCAGUCCAUCAUUUAGAAAACUAUCAACAACUGGAAGCUCUGACAAUGUUAUAUCAACUGCACCAGUUUCUGCUGCAUCAUCCACUGGUUCCCCGGCAUCUGCUGUGUCUAAUAUACGCACUACAAGUACUCCUGGCAAUUUAGGUGUAAGUCCUGCUACUGGAACUAGUACCUUAAAUAAUAUGGGUGGUGGUAGUUCUAGUGUGGCAAGCAGUGUGCUUGGUACUAUAAAUUUAAGCAACAUCACGAGUACUGGUAAUGUAAAUGCUUUGUCUGGAACAAGCAGCAAUGCUAAUGUGAAUAUCUUGAGUGGUGUUGGCAAUGGUACGAGUGCUUCCUCUAGUGUCAUUAACAAUGUUACUAAUCCAACGGCAGGAAUGGCAGUGGGAUCAAGCCCACAGCCGGCUGCAUCUGGCACCUCAAGGUUUAGGGUUGUAAAAUUAGAUUCUAGUUCUGAACCUUUCAAAAAAGGUAGAUGGACAUGCACUGAAUUCUAUGAUAAAGAAAAUACUGUUGCAGUUUCAGAAGGAGUAGCAGUAAACAAAGCAGUAGAGACGAUAAAACAAAACCCGCUUGAAGUGACUUCUGAAAGGGAGAGCACCAGUGGGAGUUCUGUUAGCAGCAAUGUAAGCACACUGAGUCACUAUACAGAAAGUGUGGGAAGUGGAGAAAUGGGAGCACCUACUGUGGUACAGCAGCAAGCGUUUCAAGGUGUGGGUCCUCAGCAGAUGGAUUUUAGCAGUGCUGCUCCUCCAGCAAUUCCAGCAUCUAGUAUACCACAGAGUGUUUCUCAAUCACAGCUUGCACAAGUCCAGCUGCAUUCUCAAGAAGUAAACUAUCCACAGCAGAAGCCAGGGGUCCAACCCCCUGCACAGGCCAGUCUAACCACUGUUACUGGGGUUCAGCCAGCCCCGGUUAAUAUACUAGGUGUAUCCCCAUCCCUGGGCCACCAGCAACCUGCCAUUCAGAGUAUGGCUCAACAGCAGCUGCCAUACUCACAGCCAGCGCAGCCUGUGCAGACUUUGCCAGUGGUGCAGCAGCAGCAGUUGCAGUACGGACAACAGCAGCAGCAGCAGCAGCAACAGCCGGUUCCUACGCAGAUGGCCGCAGGUCACGUUAAGCCGGUGAACCAAAACUCUGUCACGGGGGCUAUGCCGGACUACAUUCAACAUCAACAGAUCCUUCAGACUCCAGCUCCUGCCAUGCAGCCAAGUUCUACAGGAGUAGGAGCUGGGCAGCCAGUUCCUGUUGCCCAGGCACAGGGCAUGCAGCCUUCAGUGCAAGCACAUCCAGCCGCUGCCCCAGCUCAGCCUGUUGCUCAUGCUCCAGCAGCAAUACCAGGUGUAGCUGCCAGUGGUCAAAUGCUGAAUGUUGGGCAGCAGGGAAGCGUAGCUGCUGUGGUGCAACCACCCUCUGCUGCAAACCAAAUUCCACCUCCAGUUAUGCCGUCAACUGCUGCUCCUCCAUCUUCCCAAGUAGUGCAGCCUGUGCAGACAGGAAUAAUGCAGCAGGGAUUACAGGCUAGUGCUUCAAGCCUUCCUCAGCAAAUGGUCAUUGCUCAACAAAAUACCUUGUUACCUGUACAGCCGCAGGCACAAGGAGUGGAAUCUGUAGUCCAAGGGAUGGCUGGCCAGCAGCUGUCUGCGGUUAGCCCUAUACCCUCAGCUAGUACUGUUCCUGCAGCAAGUCAAGCUGGUUCAGCUGUGCCUCCUGGCAUACCUUCUGCUUCUGUAGGUUUGGGACAGCCACAGAAUAUAGCGCAGGCUUCGGCUGUGCAGAAUGGCAGUUUGGCUCAAAGUGUUAGUCAGCCUCCCUUGAUAUCAACAAGUAUAGGUAUGCCAGUGGCACAGAGUAUGCCACAGCAGAUGCCACUAAGCUCUACCCAGUUCCCUGCACAAUCACUAGCUCAGUCCAUUGUAAGCCAAAUUGAAGAUGGCAGACGCCCUACAGAACCUUCAUUGGUGGGUUUACCUCAAGCUGCCAAUGUCGAGAGUGGUGUUGGAGCAUCAGCUGUUUCGGAUGGGGGUAGCAGCAACAUGCCAUCUUCUGCAUCCCUCUUUCCACUGAAGGUGCUGCCAUUGACAACGCCUCUCGUAGAUGGUGAGGAUGAGAGCUGCCCACAAAAGUAAAGAACCAGUGUGAGAGUUUGAAGAAAGAAUCCGCUCAGAGGACUGAGUCUCAAGCAAAAUCUCCAGGUUGCAGACUCAGAAAGAAACUUCCUUUGGGGAAGGAUCUGCUUCCAGGAUUUGCUCGUCUCUUUUUCCUUGGGCAAACAGAGUUCUUGAAGCAAACAACAGGGUUGCAGGACACCUUCUAACCUUUAUACUGCAUCACAAGCCUUCAGCAGAAGAUCUUGACAGCCAUUUAUGUUGCUGGAAGAUGACUGGGUUUGGAUCUUGGCCUUCCUUAAGCAGGAUCUCCUGACAAAAAUGGGAAAUGACUCCUUUUUCCAUCACACAGAGCCACCCCAGAAAUGGAGGCCUAGGCAGAAAGUUACUUCUAAUGCAUUGUUCUUUAGGAAACGUUUUGCCUCCCACGUUCCUUUUGUUACAGUGUCAUAUAGAUGACUUUUAUAAAACCUAAACAUGGCAUCUUCCUAUCUGAAGAUAAGUCAGUAAAUCCAAGAUUAAGAGUUUACAGGUCUAAUAAUGUGAUCGGAUCUUGCUGUCCCUUCCAUAGGAGAUGCCACGUGAAUCUGUGAAACAGGGUUCUGCUGUGGUUAAGACUGUUAUAUUUGUAAAGCUUUUUCUACUUACAUUAAAAUGAUUAGAAAUAAUAUUAAUAAAGCUUCUUUUGAAAAUGCUGUUUAAUUAGGCUUCUACCUCUCCAGGUCUACUUAAAAAUAAAUUUAAGCCAAAGUGUCACAAUGGGCAAAAUGGGAAGUAGUGCAUCUUUUGAGGUUUCCUGUGGUUUUAUGUUGCAAAAAGGUAUGUUGGAAGUGUUGAGAGCUAUGAAAGUGGAAAAAACUUAACUUUUGCUUUAAGAGUGAGAAGUUAUUUGUUAGAAAGCAGAAAGCUUUCAGUUGUUUUCUCCCUAAGGUAUUCUGUAGCUGAACUUAAUUAAAUAUCUUGGGAGAUCUCAAAUAAAAACCUUAUGUUUGGCAGUAGUGAACAACACAUGCACAUGCCCAUGUACUUUUGUUGUUCUCACUAUAGGAAAUUAGUUUUGAAGACUAGGACUGACUUUUAAUGUUUAGAUUAGGAAAGGGGAAAGUUUUAUUCUUGAGCUGAGUGUGAGAAUGGGUGGCAGGAGUGUGAACUAGACCCUCUGGCAGUAGGUAAAGAGCACUUUUAUUUUUCUGUUUUCUGCUUCUGGCAAUUGGAGUAAACUAGUCAGAUGCUUGUGCUUGAAUCCAAUUAAUUUCUUAAAUCAGUUACCACAAAACAUUACUUUCUAACUAAUGCCUAGAUCUUUUGUUUUAUUCACUAGCUUAUUUAAAUUGUUGAAUAGUCUUAAUAUAGCCUUGAGGCUACUGCUUCAUGGCAGUUGUGACUUCUUACUAUGCUGGAAUGCAUUGCAGUCCUAGUACAUUCUAAAAAUAAUUGUUCAGAUGGUGCUGUUUAAGUACAUACUUAUGUAGUGAGCCAUUUUCACUGAACUUUCUGAAAUUUAGCUUUCUGUUGGAUGGCUUUUUAAUAUUUUUUUUUAUUGUGAAUAUCAAACUUCUUUGUCUUGCUUCUUCUGUGGUUAUCAAGUAAAGUGCUGAAUUUAUAACAUGGUAUUUUUAGAAACUGAUAGUCUGAUGCAUGUGUUUAACUAUGCAACCACAGUAACACUUGUGAACUUAGAAGUUUAAAAAGAAAUCAGUUUAAUGUAUCGAAUUCAAUUCUAUUUUCUUAUAAUAUGUGGAAAUGUGUAUGUGAUGAAAUUAAAAUUGAGUAGUUGUUAUAGGUACAGACAUGAAUUGUGUGCUGAACAGGAGUAAUCUAGAAGUCAAAAGCUGAACAUCUGUGAGUCUCAGAAAUGAAUACUAACAUCUGUGGCUAGAGAUCUGUGCCAGCAGUGCUUUUAGUUGAAAAUACCUGUUUUUCUAACUUCUAGUCCAAUUAAGGUCUGAUAUCUUUUAUGCUUAAUAGGUGUACUUGCCUCAGCCACAGUUUUUGGUCAUUUUGUUCUGUAGCAGAAGGUAAAUUGAGGACCAUCAAAUACUUACGAAUGCUGAAUACCUACAGUAAAGUAAAACAGGGGCACUGAGAACUGUUUCUCAUGUUACUGUCUCAGUUGCUAAAAUGACUUUACUCUUUCCCAUCACAAUUAGGGGGAAAAAACCCAACAAACACGCCAAAACAAAAGCAAAAACCAAACAAAAAAGCCUCUUGCUAUUCUACAGUUAGUAUUUUGAUAUUUCCUGUCUAUCACCUUGUGUUAAUGUGUUACUGUCAUGCUCUGAGUUUUACAGCUGGAAUCCUGGGUUCUUGAUACAUCUUUAGAG
Manacus vitellinus (golden-collared manakin) is the source of this 5222-nucleotide RNA transcript. It is a transcript of the gene named TSC22 domain family member 1, with no coding region annotated. The transcript is spliced from 3 exons. Lineage: Eukaryota; Metazoa; Chordata; Aves; Passeriformes; Pipridae. The record is from RefSeq and is a predicted model, not a curated record.